Molecule: ribosomal RNA, 332 nt
Filed under: uncultured eukaryote
Lineage: Eukaryota
Description: partial 18S ribosomal RNA
Rfam family: Eukaryotic small subunit ribosomal RNA
Source: RNAcentral
CCCUUAGAUGUCCUGGGCUGCACGCGCGCUACACUGGAAGUUACGGAUUGAGAUACUACCUUGUCCGAAAUGGUCCGGGUAAUCACCUAAAAGCUUGUCAUAAUUGGAAUGGAUUAUUGUAACUAGUAAUCCUGAACGAGGAAUUCCUAGUAAGUCCCAGUCAACAGCUGGUACUGAUUACGUCCCUGCCCUUUGUACACACCGCCCGUCGCUACUACUGAUUGGACGUUUAAGCAAGAUUUUUAAACACUGACAGUGUGUAGUUCACGCUAUACUACAGUGAGAAGAAGAAGAUCGAGCUUACUUGUCUAGAGGAAGUAAAAGCCGUAACA